This 8027-nucleotide long non-coding RNA is filed under the name Ananas comosus (pineapple). RNAcentral's name for it is "long non-coding RNA (ACOM_LNC002831)". The record is from RNAcentral. Lineage: Eukaryota; Viridiplantae; Streptophyta; Magnoliopsida; Poales; Bromeliaceae.
CAAGGGCGGCGAGCUCUGCGGGCGGAGGCAUCGCGACAGUACCGAAGCCGACGUAGGCGGCGGAGGCGGGAGGGUGUUGGUCGAGCCAGGAGAGGCAGUUGCUCGGGUCGGGAUCGGCGAGAGGGUGCGGGGGAUCAGCGAGGAGGUGGAGGGGGCCGAUGGGGAAGUAGUGAUCAAAUUCGGAAGCUAAGGCGGCAUCGGCGGUCACGUCAAAGCCGAGGAACGUGUUGAGGACGAGGGCGGCGGUGGUGGGCGGGCGGCGGAGGAGGCGGUCGGCCACGGUGCGGAGGAGGAGGACGAUCUCGGGGUAGGGGGGGCCGGAGACGAUCCCUUCGGGGAGGUCGCGCACACGGUGGUGCGCGGAGAGGCCCGCGACGAAGUCGAGAGGGUCGUCGCCGUGAGUUUCCAUUGCUAUGGAAAUCAAUGGAACAGUAACACUUUCUAGCUAGUACAAAUUGUAACUCGGAAGUACUGUUAAAAUAAAAUAACUUAAAAUAAAAUAGAAUAUCAUUAUUAUAUAGUACGAGGUUUCGAGUGAGAUGCACAUCAGAUUCUAAUUUUAAAAGUUUCUCUCCAUUACGAAUCAAAAAAAAAUUUCGAAUCCAAACUUUAAACAAAGUGUUAAGAAAAUAUUCAGUAAAAAUAGUUUCCCCUCCAUCUAAGUAUUUAAGUACAUAAUCCUUCGUGCCAAUUAACCCACAUAUAUAAUAUAAGAUUUAUCCACGUCCAAAUUGAGAGUCUCCAAGUUUCACUUUUCCAAACCACUUAUUAUGCAAGGAAAAAUAUGAAAAUAAAAAUCUCGAGGGAUUAAUGGAAAGUGAGUACGUAAUUGUUUACCAAGUUCGAGUCCAAUUUGACUAAUUAAACACCCUCUUACUCUAACCACUCAAAAAAUAAGGAUAAAAGUAAAAAUAAACUAUUAUUGACUUUAGGCCUCUACUAGUUUGGUUUGAAUCAAACUAUAUAUAUAUAUUUUUAAAAAAAACAUAUAGAAUUUAAAAGUAUAAAAAAUUAAAUUACUUCUAUUUAAAUUGAUAUUUUAAUUAAAAAAUUUUAAAAUUAAUAAAAGGAAUUAUAAAAUAACAAAUAUUUAAUUUUAAAAAAUUUAUAAAUUAUAUUUUCAAAAAAAAAAAAGAAUUGGGAGAGUCCGGACAGGCCUCCUCUCGGCCCAACACGAUUCAGGCCGGGUCGUCGGGCGAAUACGUACCAAUGUGAAUAUUUGAUAAACUAUACAUCGAGUAAGUAAAAAUUUUUAUAUAUAAUUUAACGAGAAAUUAAUAAAGUAACUAAUGAAAAAAAUAAAAUAAAAUAAUAAAGGACUAAAUUUAUACAAGUAAAUUGAUACAAGGGAAUACUAAAUAAGAAAGUACGAAACUCGUACUACGUACUACGUACGUACAUUGUAUUUAAAGUUUACUGUACCGAGCGAUGGAGUACCUUGGGGUCCUAGGCCGAACGUGGUGCGAAGGAGAUCCCUGUGGAGGUGCGCGACGAGGCUGUGGGGCCCGCUGGUCCAGAGCGGGACCCACGGCACCCCGAUCUUCUCCGCCGCCGCCCCCGCCGCCAACACGAACGAGUCGCUCACCACGCAGCUCACCUCCUCCUCCGCCGCCGCCGCCGCCGCCGCCGCUGCUGCGAACCUCUCGAUCCGCCGCAUCUCCUCCUCCUCUCCGUCCCCUUCCCCCUCGGGGAUGGCGACGAGGCGGAGGUUGGGGACCCGAUCGCAGCCGCCGCGGAGCGGGGCGAGGUGCCGCGCCGUGCAGAGGAAGGAGAACGUGGCGGCGGCGGAGGGGCAGCAGGCGAGGGCGAGGGCGCGGGCGAGGGCCAGGAGCGGCGCCGCGUGGCUGCCGGAGGGGAACGCCACGACCACCACGUGGGGGCGGCGGCGGAGGCGGCGGUCGCCGUCGUCGUCGGAGGCGGAGGAGCCCAUUUUGCUCAAUUUCUAGGGUGGAGGGGCGCAGGAGAGGAGGAGGAGGAGGAAUAGGAGGAGGAGGAGGUCGUGGUGGUGUUCUCGGACCGCGACGUACCCAUUGUAAUGAAGGGUCCGGUGUUCUCGGACCGUUGGGGUAGCUACUUCACGUGAAGAGCUACCUCCGCUCCAAAAUUUCUCUUUUGCCACUGUGGGUGAGAUAUUUCCGGAAUAGUACUUAUCAGCCGUCGUGCUCUUAAUUUAUUUUCGAUAAUGAAAUUUUCGAAUCCAUAGUCUAUCUAUAUUAAGAAAAAUAUUAAUUAGUUGAUUGUAAUUAUUUUUACUAUUUAUCGUUGUAUAUCUUUUCUAUAAAUAGGAGAUGGCAUAGGUUAAUUAUAGGACGAGAUUAGCAUAAUUAUAGGUUGAGAUUGAUUCUUAUUCUUGUAUAUAUCAUGCACUUUUCUAAUGAAAUAAACACAAUACUGUAAACCAUUAUCUUCUUCCAUUUUACAAUCUAGUAUAUUUAAAGUAUCUAAAAAAAUAAUUUUUACAAUUAAUUGAUUCUGAUUGUCAAAUUUGAUUAUAUUUGAAAAAAAUGUAAUUGUAAAUAUAAUGUGAAUGCAAAUGAAUAUUUAUAACACCAUAGUUAUUUUAUAUUUUUGAUGUCUUAGUUAUGCAAUUUGUAUAUAAAUUCUGUUCCUAUUAGAAACAUUUUAAAUUGUACUGAUUGUGACACCUUGAACGUAUAGGAAAAAUUCUAUUCGUUCGGUUGGCGCGCCAGAAUCCGACCAAAGUGACAAUGUCGGGGCGUGUUUCGAUAUCAUUUACCUUGUGGUUCAAAGGACUCAAAAUUAACGGUUGAAAUUAAAAAUUUCACAAAAGAUUAUGAUGUAGUACUAAAAUUUUCAAUCAGAGAUAUUAAUCUUCUUGUAGAUAGUAUAAAAAAAAUUUUAUCAAAAUUUUAUCUGAUUUGAAUAUUCUACACCGUUAAACUUACAAACGGCACACUUCAAUCGUUAAAAAUUAUUCAUUUUGAAUCUUUCGAACGUUAGAUCAAGUUUAACGAAAUCGAUCGUUGAUUCAAAAAUUUCAUCAUCGAAAACGGUUAAUUUUCUAGAUUAAUUUUAAAUCUCGAUUUCGAUAAAUAAUUAAAUUCGGUAGCCUCUCAAGGAUUGGUCGCUGAAGGUGCCACGUCCUACGUGCCAAGUGUGUGGGGGAAAUUGAGAAAUGCCUAACCCCUCUUUCCACCUACUUAAUUUGCUAGGAUUUUAGUCCCCCUUUUAUCUCCAAACAAAAAUUUUUGGGGAUGGUGUUUGUUAACCCCACCCUUAACGGAUUAUCCUUAACAAACCCCACCCCCCUUAGAAUUGAGGUGGAAUUAAGUUAAUCCCAUCGCAAUUUAAUUUUUAAUAUAAAUUUAUAAUUAUAAUUAUAAUUAUAAUUUUUAAAUCUUACAAAUUUAUAAUUUGUAAUCUUAAAAUUAAUAUUAAUAUUUUUAAAUUUUAAAUUUUAUUUUUAAUCGCUUAAAUUUUAAAGUUGACAUUUUGUAUUUGAAAUUUAAAAAUGUAUAAUUUGCAAUAUUUAUAUUAAUAUUUAUUGUUUAAAAUUUUAAAUUUUAAAAUUUUAAUUUUAAAGUAUUAUUUAUAAUUAUUUAAAUUUUAAAUUUAAUAUUUUAUAUUAGAAAUUUUAAAAAUUUAUAAUUUGUAAUCUUAAAAUAUAUAUAUUUAUAUUCUUAAAUUUUAAAUUUUAAAAUUUAAGUUGUUAUUUUUAAUUAUUUAAAUUUUAUAUUUUAUAUUUUAUAUUUGAAAUUUUAAAAAUUUAUAAUUUGUAAUCUUUAAAAUAUAUAUUUAUAUUCUUAAAUUUUCAAUUUUCAAUUUUAAAUUGUUAUUUUUAAUUAUUUAAACUUUAAAUUUGGUAUUUUAUAUGUGAAAUUUUAUAUUUGUUAGAUUUGAUUAAAAUUUAUAACUUUAAAUUUUUAAAUUUGAGAUUUAAAAAUAUAGAUUUUAAUUUUGAAUUUUUAAUUUUAAAAGUUAUCUAUUUAAAUUUUAAAUUUUAAAUAUAAAAUAAAAAAUUAGAAUUCAAAUAUAAUAAUUGGGGCAAUAUCAUUAUUUUCUAUUCAUAACUAUCCAUUACCCUACUUAUUCCACUUACUUCAACCAAAUACUAUUUUGCUUAUAUAUGGACUAAACCCAAUUCUCAAUCAAACACAAAAUUACUCUAACCCACCUUAACCCUGAACUUAACCCUAUUCCUGAAAUAACUAGUUCUUAUUUAAUCCCGAACCAAACGAAGCGAUAGAGAUCACCUCGCAGCGGUGGCGGAAGAAAUAACCAAGAACACAAUGAGUGUGUGGAUGGAAAGCGUUGACCAACAAUUCCAAAAGCACAUUCGGAUAAGAAUGACGCACUUAUCGCAUUUAAGGACUCAGUUACAGUGGUAACGGGCUUCGACCUGACUCAAUCCAUCUGGACGUUCGGUCUAUUAUUUUGGAGUCUCUUACCAAUAGGUCUCUUGUGGACCAUAAUUCCACUCAACUUAUUAGACUCAUCCAGCUUGACUUAUUAAUCUUCUGAGUUUAUUGUAACAUGACAGAAAAUUAGACUUUUUUUGCCCCAACAAUAAAUGAGUAAUGCUUCUAUACUUUUUUUUUUUUGUUACCGUUCAUUCACGCGUAUUCAAUGGCUCAGAUUUAAUUUUUUUAAAAUUGUGACCUGCAAUAGCAGGUCACUUUGGGAGAGGUACCGGUUACCAGGUACCUCAAAAAAGGAUAUUUUUGUCUUUUAAUACAUGGGCAAUUUAGUUAUUUUACAUCUACUAUAUUUUUAAAAUUUUUAUUUUUUCUUUGUUUCAUUUUUCUCUCUCUAUCUUUCCUUUCAUAAUUUGGCUUUCAUAUAAGGAAAAGUUCAAAUGAUUUGACAAUAUGAUCAUUGAAUUUAAACUUUAAAUAGUAAUAUGAAAUUCCUCUAAUUUAAAUUUCACUUUUAAAUUUAAAAUUUAAUAUUAUAUUCAAAUUUAUAUUUUAAAAAUUUAAGUUUCAUAUAAAUACUUUGAAAUAUGGUAAACAGAAAUAAUUGUUUGAAUUCUAGUCUUCUGGUUUAGGUUUGGUUUUGGGUUUCGAAAAAUUGGUCAGUUUUGAAUUUGGAUAUGGAUUUUUGAAAUCCGUCGAGUUCGGAAAUAAGUUUUGUGAUUGUUAGUCAGAUUCGAAUUCAAAUUCCUAACUAUUUUUUUUCUCACCAAUAAUUCUAAUCUUUUUAAUUUAUAUGUUUAAAAUUAUAUUUAAAAUAUUUAUUAGCUCUAACAGUUAAAUUAUUAUUCUGUUUAAAAUAUUUAUUAUCUUUACCGGUUCCAAAUUGUUCUUAAUGUUAUUCGGUUCAAUAGGUUAAAAUCAGAUUCUUGAUAGAAUAGGUCAAAGUCUGAUCAGUCAAAUCAAUCGGUUCAAUCUAGUUUUUAAAUCAUUGAAUUUAAAAUUUAAAUAGUAAUAUGAAAUUCCUCUAGAGAAAUCUAGUUGUAGAAAUCUUACUCUCUAAGUUUUUUAUACAUUACGUUUUAAACUGGUGCGAAUACACUGUAUUUGAAAUCUUGGUAGAAAUUUAGUUUUUAAAUAGUAAUAUGAAAUUCCUCUAAUUUAAAUUUCACUUUUAAAUUUUAAGUAUUUAAUUUUUAAAAUUUAAAUUCAUCGCAUUUAGAAAUAAAACUAUUUCUAAAAUUUCUAUAAUUUAAAUUAAUGCAUAAUUUGAGAAACAUUAAAACAUUUAAAGUAGAUUCCUAAAUUAAUGCCUAAUAAUUGCAUAAAUUUGGUUAAUCAAUUAAUUUUGUAAAUUAGUGCUAAUUAAUGCAUAAAUUUAGGACCUCAAUUAAUUAAAAGUUUCUUUAAAUAUUAUAUUAUUUAAUUACCAAAUUAACCUUGAAUAAAAUAAUCCUUUUACCUGCUAAGUAUUAAAGUUACAUUUUUACCCUCUAUUAAUCAACGGUUAAGAUUUUUUUUUAUUUUUUUUUUUAAAAAAGUACCGAAUCAUUUCUCAUAGCCAACAGAGUGUGCUGUGAAUGGGAGGAAUUUGCAAACACUAGGUGCGUCAGCGGUCGAAAGAAUGCAACUCCACAUGCAGCUCCAAGGCCUCUACAACCCCUUGAUCUCUUUCUACAACUACAUUAAUCCUUUACUGUGGCAGCAGCAGCUUCCUUCACUGGAAGGAGUCUUAGAAUCCAAUGAACAAAAUGUUUUGGAACACAAACAUGACAUACCAUGUAGCACUGUUGGUGCAACUAUGCAAGAGAAAAUGGAUAGCUCGGAAUCAGGUUUUCCUUCACCAUCGGUGCGGAGAACUCGAGCCCAAACUUGAGCUCCACGGCCGUGCCGCUUCAGACGGAGCUUCACGAGUUGCUCUUCAGCAAGAAUAGCGGUUGCUUUGAAGCGCAAGGGGAGCAUCGGUCGAUCGGACCAGAGUGGUUUAAAGCGAUGGUCAGCGGAGAAGAUGAGAUUACGAGUUGGUGGGCCGUGAACAGCUUCGACGAUGUAUCGCCAUUGGCUUCGAAUUCUUGGGGUUCUGCUUUGGCUCACCAUCCCGAAACCAUGUUUCAUAACUAUGUAUUCGGGCAAGAUCGAUCUAUAUAUAGGCGUUGAUCGACAAAGUUGAGAAUUUUGAUUUUGAUGAUGUGCAAGUUAUUCAAUGCGUGAAGUUUGAGUCGAAAAACAUAUGUUGUUUAUAUGUGAAUUAUAGUACUAUAAUGUAUUAAUCCAGCUUUAAUUUGGAUUAUUCUUGAUCUCCCUCUCCUUCCAUGAGGUGUUUCUUUCUUCUUCUUCUUCUUUUUUUCCCCCUCUCUUGUGCAAUUGAACAUUCUCUAUGGAAUUAAUAUUUAGUUUUUAAAUUAAUAGUAGUAAGUUAAUUAUGAGAUCCACUGUGGCUAGUUUCUUCUUAAUUGUUGUUCUUUUGUAAUGAGAUACAAUUUGGUUUUGUAUAUAAAUCAAUUAGCUCAUAUGCACAAACUUUUGGGCUCCAUUUUGGGCCCUUUCGUCUUGUAGAUUUCAAAUGGGCUCAAAUUAGCCCAAGACCAUGUCUACAUAUUCAAAAUUUAUUGAGUCUAUAAUAAUUAGGUACCAAUGUACGGAGACCUCGGACCUUCUCAACUCUUUGACUUUUUGGAAUUGAGUAAUUUUAGUCAAAAAAAAAAAAAGAAAAGAAAAAGAAAAAGAAAACAAACAAAAAAAGAAGAAGAAGAAGAAGAAGAAGAAGAAGAAGAGAUUUUAGCAAAAUAUAGUAAUGUUUAUUAUUAAUAUCAUACGUAGUACGUAGUAACGGGAUAAGCCAUGCAUGCAUGGUAUAUAUAAGCUUUCACCCUAAUCCUAACCACAAACAAGCUUCAACAAUUUCUUAAGAUUCUCCGACGAACUCCCUCCGACCCCCGUCGCCGCCGCGGCCUUAGCCUUGAUCUCCCGGGCCCGCUCCCUCAUCCUCCUCCCCUCCUCCCCCCUCAAAACCACGUCCAGCGCCCCCGCCACCACCUCCUCGGCAGCAAUGCCGCCGCGCAGCGCGACUCCGAUCCCCCACACGCUCUCCACCGCCCUCGCGUUCAUCCGCUGGUCCCCGAAGAUGGGCCGGCACACCAUUGGCACCCCCGCAGCGACGCUCUCGAGCACCGAGUUCCACCCGCAGUGGCUCACGAAUGCUCCGACCACCGCGUGCCCCAGCACUGCCUUCUGCGGGGCCCAGCUCACCACCAGCCCGGUCCCGUUUGCCCGCACCCGGUCCGAAAACCCGGGAGGCAGAAGCUCUUGCGCGCUCUCCUUCAGUGACCACACAAACGGAGCUCGGCUCAAUUCUAGACCUUUGGCAAGGGCGGCGAGCUCUGCGGGCGGAGGCAUCGCGACAGUACCGAAGCCGACGUAGGCGGCGGAGGCGGGAGGGUGUUGGUCGAGCCAGGAGAGGCAGUUGCUCGGGUCGGGAUCGGCGAGAGGGUGCGGGGGAUCAGCGAGGAGGUGGAGGGGGCCGACGGGGAGGUAGUGAUCAAAUUCGGAGGCGAAAGCAGCGUCGGCGGUCGGAUCGAAGCCAAGGAACGUGUUGAGGACGAGGGCGGCAGCAGUGGGCGGGCGGCGGAGGAGGCGAUCGGCCAUGCAGCUGAG